AAGAGCUAGGUCCUUGGAAUUGCAAUAGUAGUAAUUUGACGUUUCGAUGGUAGGUCGGGGGAAACAAUUAGAGUUUUGCAUCACGUUUUCUGGAACGUAUCCGUUUUCGUAACGUAUCGAUCGAAAGACAACCAUCCUUUAAAUGUACGAAUACCCUGGGACUAAGGGAAAACAGUGGAUACUAACUUUUAAACAGCACAAAACAGAACGUCCGAAACGCACAAGGUGAUAACAAACAAAAAAUCACAAGCGACAGAAACAAAAACGCAUAAGGAAUAACAAACAAAAAUGCAAAAUGGGACAACUGCAACAAUAAGAACACAUCAGCAAUAAAAGGGACAAAAGACUGAUUCUAUAGAGCGCAGGUGACAUCAUAAUGACGAUGACAAUGUCGCGUCCACGUUUACGUCAUGCUCCUGAACUUCAAGAACAAAAUGGGACUGUAUAUAAGGAGGAAUCUGCGGUAAUACAUAUUAAAAGGAGAAGUGCUCCAAAUAUCAGGUACAACGGUGUGCCAGUCUUGGAGGAAAACUCGACAGUAUCGUGCGACCGUUGCAUAUCCAGAUCGUCCUCCGUUCCAAAUCAGAAAAAUCAAAAUGGAGAUAGACUAUUAAAGCAUAGACCAAAAACUAGAAAUAAUAGUUUAAGUUCUUCAAAAUUAUUAUCCUCAAGUCCAAAUUCUGGAACUUCAAGUUAUAAGUUACCCACAAAGGAAGGAUUUGACCUAAGUGCCUACAGUAACAGGUAUAAACGAUACAUAAAGGCGGAGGACAUCAAAGUAACCGGAAGUGACGUCAGGACUCUUCAUAAAAGUAAAAGUGCUGAUUCACGGUUGAUAGGUUCAGCGAUAGAACUACCACCUAGUGGCAAACAAAAAACCAAAAUCAAUCAAAGUACUAUAAACUUGGCAAAGGCUUUAAAAAGAAAUGACGAUGCGCAACUACUAGCGCAUGGUUUAGACGCGCUUAAUCUCCAAACGUCUGAAGAUACGUGGAAGAAAGAAAUCGAGGAUAAAUGUUUCAAAUGGAUGGAAGACCUUCCAGAAAGGUUCUCUGCAAUGGACAGUCUGUUACCAUCGCUCCCUUCAGAAUCUAAAAAUACAAAUGACACAUAGUUUAAUAUAAAAGAUACAAUGUAUAGUGAAUGAUCAAAUAAAAAUAAUCUAGUCAAAGCCUUAUCUAAAAUAAAAUAAA
RNAcentral lists this unclassified non-coding RNA (1193 nucleotides) under Owenia fusiformis. RNAcentral's name for it is "misc RNA OFUS_LOCUS3982". Lineage: Eukaryota; Metazoa; Annelida; Polychaeta; Sabellida; Oweniidae. The record is from RNAcentral.